UAGCUCAGUCAGUAAAGAAUCUGCCUGCAGUGCAGGAGACCCAGGUUCAAUUCCUGG
RNAcentral lists this transfer RNA (57 nucleotides) under Muntiacus reevesi (Reeves' muntjac). It matches the Rfam family "tRNA", at positions 8 to 63 of the family's 71-position model. From Rfam's summary of the family: Transfer RNA (tRNA) molecules are approximately 80 nucleotides in length. Their secondary structure includes four short double-helical elements and three loops (D, anti-codon, and T loops). Further hydrogen bonds mediate the characteristic L-shaped molecular structure. tRNAs have two regions of fundamental functional importance: the anti-codon, which is responsible for specific mRNA codon recognition, and the 3' end, to which the tRNAs corresponding amino acid is attached (by aminoacyl-tRNA synthetases). tRNAs cope with the degeneracy of the genetic code in two manners: having more than one tRNA (with a specific anti-codon) for a particular amino acid; and 'wobble' base-pairing, i.e. permitting non-standard base-pairing at the 3rd anti-codon position. Lineage: Eukaryota; Metazoa; Chordata; Mammalia; Artiodactyla; Cervidae. The record is from Rfam by way of RNAcentral. RNAcentral also lists the same sequence under 10 other names.